Molecule: ribosomal RNA, 2331 nt
Filed under: Triticum aestivum (bread wheat)
Lineage: Eukaryota; Viridiplantae; Streptophyta; Magnoliopsida; Poales; Poaceae
Description: partial small subunit ribosomal RNA
Source: RNAcentral
AUGACAUCGACCCCGCAGCCUCCCCGCGAUCUCGCGCACGCCGCCCCGCCCGCGCAGGACCUCACCGGCCUCGGCCUCGGCCUCGCGGCCGCGAGGUCCCUCCGCCACCGCCCACCUCGCCAAGGAUCGAUGCCUUCAGGUUCUGUGGAGCACCAGACCAUUUCAGGCUCACUGAUCCACUCAAUGAUUCAGUUCUGCGGAGCACCAGAGUACUUCAUGUUCAAUGAUCCGCAGCCGGUGAUCCCACACCAUGUGGCCGCGGAACCCAGUCACAAUGCUCCCGUGGCCACCCUCUCCAGGGCCACCAACACAGAGACUGACAACCCCGAAGACUGGGAGUUCAUCUCGGAUGAGUCGCUCAACUACAUCAGCCGGAUGCUCAUGGAGGAGGACAUUGAUGAGAAGGUCAGCGUGUACCAGGAGGAGUCGGCCACGCUCCGUGCUACCGCAAAGCCCUUCUAUGACAUCCUUGGGCACAAGUUCCCGCCAUCCCCUGACCGCACGCUCACGACUUGGUCCCUGGACAGCCCCAGUGAGAGCAGCAGCAGCGGUCAUGCCCAGUCCUUGUCCAGUGUGGGUACUAGCGGCAGCAUCGGUGGUGCGGUUCAUAGCAACCAGUGCCAUAAUGUUGGACACUCUGAGCAGCUGGAAGCUUAUCGCGGCUUGUGUGGCCGAUCUUCUCAGCCACUGGUUGCCCCAUCAAGUGGUGUUUCUGAUGCAGCAGAGUCCCUAGAAGAUCCUUUGAUCACCAACGGCAGGAUCCCCGAGUAUUUGUUCGAGAGCCUUCCAACUUGGGAUUUCAGGAGAGGUGUCGAGGAAGCACAGAAGUUUCUCCCUGGUGGUGAUAAGCUAGUAAUUGAUUUAGAAGCUGCUGGUGUCUCAAAGCCUCAAGAAGCAGUGAAAGCCAUUCCUUUCAAUGUCAGCAGGACAGAGGUCUUGAAGGCCAAGAAAAACAGACAGAGCGAAGAUCUUGACUUGAUAGAAGGACGAAACAUUAAACAAUCUGCAUUCUGUUCUGAUGAGCCUGAUGACUGGGUUGAAAUGUUUGACGAUUUGUUUCGUCAAACUGAAAAGAAGGCUACAGUUCUGCGAGAAAAGAUGCGCAGCGAAGCUUCCAAGAAUUCUCAGGUCACUCAAGCGAAAGGAACAACUGGGGUGAAGACACGGGGCAGGAAGCCGACAAAAAAUGAUGUGGUGGACCUUAGGACCAUCCUCAUCCACUGUGCACAGGCAGUGGCAGCUGAUGACCGCCGAACUGCUAAUGAGUUGCUAAAGCAAAUAAAACAGCAUUCCAAGGUAAAUGGGGAUGGCAGCCAGAGGCUGGCGUUUUGCUUUGCACAGGGUCUCGAGGCUCGCUUGGCUGGCACUGGGAGCCAGCAGUACCAUAGGCUUGUAGCAAAGCGGACAACCGCGUCCGACAUGCUUAAGGGGUACCAUCUUUACUUUGCAGCAUGCCCAUUCAAGAGGCUCUCACAUUUCCUCUCCAAUCAAACAAUCUUGAGCAUGACAAAAAAUGCAAAGAAGGUGCACAUCAUUGACUUUGGCAUUUAUUUUGGCCUCCAAUGGCCAUGCCUCAUCAGGCGUCUCUCCAAGAGGGAAGGUGGUCCACCAAUUCUUCGCAUCACGGGAAUUGAUGUACCCGAGCCUGGUUUCCGCCCUACCGAGCGCAUCGAAGAGACGGGACAGAGGCUUGCGGAGUAUGCCAAGAAGUUUGAGGUGCCUUUUGAGUACCAUGGCAUAGCAUCAAAGUGGGAAACCAUCCGUGCUGAGGAUCUCAAGGUUGGCAAAGACGAAGUGGUGAUUGUUAAUUGCCUGUAUCGUUUCAGAAAUCUUAUUGACGAAACAGUGGCUGUAGACAGCCCUAGGAAUAGGGUGCUCAACACUAUAAGGCAAGUGAAUCCAGCAAUUUUCAUCCAUGGGAUUGUGAAUGGGUCAUACAGUGUUCCUUUCUUCAUCACACGUUUCCGUGAGGCAUUGUUCCAUUUCUCUGCAUUGUUUGACAUGCUUGAGGCAACUGUGCCACGGGAUGAUGACCAGCGUAGGCUCAUAGAGAGGGAUCUCUUUGGCCGAGAGGCACUCAAUGUGAUUGCAUGUGAGGGCUCAGACAGAGUAGAGAGACCAGAGACGUAUAAACAGUGGCAAGUGAGGAACCUGAGGGCUGGAUUUGUUCAGUCUCCGUUAAACCAGGACAUUGUGAUAAAAGCCAAAGACAAAGUGAAAGAUAUAUAUCACAAAGAUUUUGUCAUAGAUGAAGACAGUGGAUGGCUCCUCCAAGGGUGGAAAGGAAGGAUAAUUUAUGCUAUAACUACAUGGAAGCAUAAUAACAGUUAG